CGUAGCUGAGGGCCACAGCUCUGCUGCCGUUUGUCUCCCGUCCAGGGAGCCCUGCGCCAGGCUUUGCACUUCUUGCACAUGCACUUCUCUCACCGAAGGUUUUGCUCUCUCGGUUUUGUUCCCUGACGUGCAAACAUAGGUGGAAGGAUCAGAAUUUUGGGUGGCAGAACGGAGAAGCUGGCUGCACGCAAAGUCCUGUCAGAAUGUUUUGACACAAGUGAAAAGACUUUUACCAGUAAAUAUCGGUUUAUUCCUGAAACCAGAAGCCCUAAACAUACCUUUGUUUAUAAGCCUGUGUGGUUCUGAUUGCUGGCAGUUCUCUAAUACAGCUUUAAUCUGAGCAGUUGAGGCUGGUCCCACCUUACCUUCAGACGUCUUGCGGAGGACUCCUGUUACCAGUUUGGUACUCAAAAGCUACACCCCACCAUGAGAAGUCAAUUAUUUUUUAAAAGGCAGUGAUAGAUUACUGUCUCUAGUUCUAAUGGAAAAAUUAUAUUGCAAUGCAACUUUAUAAUAAAUUGUUCAUAUAUUCAUAAUUCCGUGGCAAUCCCAAAUCGGAGGACG
RNAcentral lists this long non-coding RNA (564 nucleotides) under Gallus gallus (chicken). RNAcentral describes it as "long non-coding RNA NONGGAT002278". The record is from RNAcentral. Lineage: Eukaryota; Metazoa; Chordata; Aves; Galliformes; Phasianidae.